This 466-nucleotide ribosomal RNA is filed under the name uncultured bacterium. RNAcentral describes it as "partial 16S ribosomal RNA". It matches the Rfam family "Bacterial small subunit ribosomal RNA", at positions 28 to 507 of the family's 1533-position model. The record is from RNAcentral.
GACGAACGCUGGCGGCGUGCUUAACACAUGCAAGUCGAACGGCAAGGCCAGUGCUUGCACUGGUACUCGAGUGGCGAGCGGGUGAGUAACACGGGGGUGUUCUGCCUUGCACUCUGGGAUAAGCCGGGGAAACUGGGUCUACUACCUGAGCUGAACUGGCUAUAGUGGGGUGGUUGGAAAGUUUGUUCGGUUCAAGCUGAGCUCGCGGCCUAUCAGCUUGUUGGUGGGGUAAUGGCCUACCAAGGCGUCGCCGGGUAGCCGGCCUGAGAAGGUGGACGGGGCCAUGGGGCCUGAGAGACGGAGCAGACGGGUAUGGUAGGCAGCAGGGGGGAAUCUUGCCCAACGGGCCGGAGCGUGAUGCAGAGACGCUGGGUGGGGGAAGACGGCCUUCGGGUUGUAAACCCCUUUCGACAGGGACGAAGCGGAAGUGACGGUACCUGUAGAAGAAGCACCGGCUAACUACGUG